ACUAAGCGUACACGGUGGAUGCCCUGGCAGUCAGAGGCGAUGAAGGACGUGCUAAUCUGCGAUAAGCGUCGGUAAGGUGAUAUGAACCGUUAUAACCGGCGAUUUCCGAAUGGGGAAACCCAGUGUGAUUCGUCACACUAUCAUUAACUGAAUCCAUAGGUUAAUGAGGCGAACCGGGGGAACUGAAACAUCUAAGUACCCCGAGGAAAAGAAAUCAACCGAGAUUCCCCCAGUAGCGGCGAGCGAACGGGGAGCAGCCCAGAGCCUGAAUCAGUGUGUGUGUUAGUGGAAGCGUCUGGAAAGGCGCGCGAUACAGGGUGACAGCCCCGUACACAAAAAUGCACAUGCUGUGAGCUCGAUGAGUAGGGCGGGACACGUGGUAUCCUGUCUGAAUAUGGGGGGACCAUCCUCCAAGGCUAAAUACUCCUGACUGACCGAUAGUGAACCAGUACCGUGAGGGAAAGGCGAAAAGAACCCCGGCGAGGGGAGUGAAAAAGAACCUGAAACCGUGUACGUACAAGCAGUGGGAGCACAGAGCAAUCUGUGUGACUGCGUACCUUUUGUAUAAUGGGUCAGCGACUUAUAUUCUGUAGCAAGGUUAACCGAAUAGGGGAGCCGAAGGGAAACCGAGUCUUAACUGGGCGUUAAGUUGCAGGGUAUAGACCCGAAACCCGGUGAUCUAGCCAUGGGCAGGUUGAAGGUUGGGUAACACUAACUGGAGGACCGAACCGACUAAUGUUGAAAAAUUAGCGGAUGACUUGUGGCUGGGGGUGAAAGGCCAAUCAAACCGGGAGAUAGCUGGUUCUCCCCGAAAGCUAUUUAGGUAGCGCCUCGUGAAUUCAUCUCCGGGGGUAGAGCACUGUUUCGGCAAGGGGGUCAUCCCGACUUACCAACCCGAUGCAAACUGCGAAUACCGGAGAAUGUUAUCACGGGAGACACACGGCGGGUGCUAACGUCCGUCGUGAAGAGGGAAACAACCCAGACCGCCAGCUAAGGUCCCAAAGUCAUGGUUAAGUGGGAAACGAUGUGGGAAGGCCCAGACAGCCAGGAUGUUGGCUUAGAAGCAGCCAUCAUUUAAAGAAAGCGUAAUAGCUCACUGGUCGAGUCGGCCUGCGCGGAAGAUGUAACGGGGCUAAACCAUGCACCGAAGCUGCGGCAGCGACGCUUAUGCGUUGUUGGGUAGGGGAGCGUUCUGUAAGCCUGUGAAGGUGUGCUGUGAGGCAUGCUGGAGGUAUCAGAAGUGCGAAUGCUGACAUAAGUAACGAUAAAGCGGGUGAAAAGCCCGCUCGCCGGAAGACCAAGGGUUCCUGUCCAACGUUAAUCGGGGCAGGGUGAGUCGACCCCUAAGGCGAGGCCGAAAGGCGUAGUCGAUGGGAAACAGGUUAAUAUUCCUGUACUUGGUGUUACUGCGAAGGGGGGACGGAGAAGGCUAUGUUGGCCGGGCGACGGUUGUCCCGGUUUAAGCGUGUAGGCUGGUUUUCCAGGCAAAUCCGGAAAAUCAAGGCUGAGGCGUGAUGACGAGGCACUACGGUGCUGAAGCAACAAAUGCCCUGCUUCCAGGAAAAGCCUCUAAGCAUCAGGUAACAUCAAAUCGUACCCCAAACCGACACAGGUGGUCAGGUAGAGAAUACCAAGGCGCUUGAGAGAACUCGGGUGAAGGAACUAGGCAAAAUGGUGCCGUAACUUCGGGAGAAGGCACGCUGAUAUGUAGGUGAAGUCCCUCGCGGAUGGAGCUGAAAUCAGUCGAAGAUACCAGCUGGCUGCAACUGUUUAUUAAAAACACAGCACUGUGCAAACACGAAAGUGGACGUAUACGGUGUGACGCCUGCCCGGUGCCGGAAGGUUAAUUGAUGGGGUUAGCGCAAGCGAAGCUCUUGAUCGAAGCCCCGGUAAACGGCGGCCGUAACUAUAACGGUCCUAAGGUAGCGAAAUUCCUUGUCGGGUAAGUUCCGACCUGCACGAAUGGCGUAAUGAUGGCCAGGCUGUCUCCACCCGAGACUCAGUGAAAUUGAACUCGCUGUGAAGAUGCAGUGUACCCGCGGCAAGACGGAAAGACCCCGUGAACCUUUACUAUAGCUUGACACUGAACAUUGAGCCUUGAUGUGUAGGAUAGGUGGGAGGCUUUGAAGUGUGGACGCCAGUCUGCAUGGAGCCGACCUUGAAAUACCACCCUUUAAUGUUUGAUGUUCUAACGUUGACCCGUAAUCCGGGUUGCGGACAGUGUCUGGUGGGUAGUUUGACUGGGGCGGUCUCCUCCUAAAGAGUAACGGAGGAGCACGAAGGUUGGCUAAUCCUGGUCGGACAUCAGGAGGUUAGUGCAAUGGCAUAAGCCAGCUUGACUGCGAGCGUGACGGCGCGAGCAGGUGCGAAAGCAGGUCAUAGUGAUCCGGUGGUUCUGAAUGGAAGGGCCAUCGCUCAACGGAUAAAAGGUACUCCGGGGAUAACAGGCUGAUACCGCCCAAGAGUUCAUAUCGACGGCGGUGUUUGGCACCUCGAUGUCGGCUCAUCACAUCCUGGGGCUGAAGUAGGUCCCAAGGGUAUGGCUGUUCGCCAUUUAAAGUGGUACGCGAGCUGGGUUUAGAACGUCGUGAGACAGUUCGGUCCCUAUCUGCCGUGGGCGCUGGAGAACUGAGGGGGGCUGCUCCUAGUACGAGAGGACCGGAGUGGACGCAUCACUGGUGUUCGGGUUGUCAUGCCAAUGGCACUGCCCGGUAGCUAAAUGCGGAAGAGAUAAGUGCUGAAAGCAUCUAAGCACGAAACUUGCCCCGAGAUGAGUUCUCCCUGACCCUUUAAGGGUCCUGAAGGAACGUUGAAGACGACGACGUUGAUAGGCCGGGUGUGUAAGCGCAGCGAUGCGUUGAGCUAACCGGUACUAAUGAACCGUGAGGCUUAACC
Molecule: ribosomal RNA, 2895 nt
Filed under: human gut metagenome
Description: bacterial LSU rRNA
Rfam family: Bacterial large subunit ribosomal RNA
Source: RNAcentral